Long non-coding RNA from Adelges cooleyi (spruce gall adelgid), 1520 nucleotides. RefSeq lists it as uncharacterized. Lineage: Eukaryota; Metazoa; Arthropoda; Insecta; Hemiptera; Adelgidae. The transcript has 3 exons. The record is from RefSeq and is a predicted model, not a curated record.
UAUAUAGCUGUAGCGUCAGUAAUGUGUAUUGUGUAAUAUAUAAUGUGUUUAUGUCUCGCCCGGUUAAGGUACUUGUCCAUACUCCAUGGUGUCGUCCAAAGUGACGGAAAAUGAAUAAUAAUCGUCUGCUUACAUAAUUAUUUGUUUGACUCAUAAUAUUAGAUUUAGAAUUGUGUGCUUUUUAUACCCGUUGUUUUAAAUUUUAGGAUCAGAGCCGUAACCGGCGACCUCAUCGUGGCUGUUUAAUAGUAGUUUUCGGGUUCGUACAUUCGUUCCAUAUUCAAAGGCUUACAGAGUGAGAAACGCUUUCAUCAGUCGAAGAGGCGAUAAUGGUGAACAACGUUAUAGGCUCUAUUUAAAUGUUAAUGUUUUCCAUGUGUGUGUGUACAUCACUUUCAAGUAGAUAGUAGUAUUUAUUAUAACAUAUCUAUGUCUUCUUUAAAGUGACUCUGAUCUGCAUGAAAAAUGUUCAAUGUUGUGUGUUUGCAUAUUAUAAAAAAAUAUUAUCAUUGAUUUGAUCGUUUUAUUGAUAUAUUUUAAUGAAUUAAUUAAUGUUCUGUUUACGGGUUUGUACAAAUUUUACAAACAACCUAAAUUAUUUACAUACGUUAGUUUAAGACUUGAGAGAGUCAGAAGCGCUGUAAAGGGCUGUAGAGGUGAUGCCCAUAUUUCAUAGCCAUAGUUAUAAUAUGUGUUUUUCGGACUUGCCAAAGAAUAGAUAAUUGUCAUUUAUCUUUUGGUUGAAGUGGGAUUUUUCAGAAAAUGACUUAGAACAUACUUUUAUAUUUGUGUGUUCUUAGUCAUUUUCAAAAAAAAACCCACUUCGUGACAGCGACAACUACAGACACAACUUAUUGGCGGAGUUAGCUGUGAGAGAACCGUCGUACCGGAUAUAAAGCCAUGAACCAAACGUCGCUCUUCAACGAGAUUAGUGUCAAUGGUUUGAAAGGUAUGAAGCGCAUAAAAACAAAUAGAUGGUCGUCUUGAAGAUGAAGUGGGAAUUUUGAGAAAAAGACUUUAAGCACACGGUAUAUAUUUUGUGUGCUUUAAGUCUUUUUCACAAAAAAUCCACAUCAUGUCGUCAAUGACCAAAGCGAUCAAAGACGGACACAACGUAAUGCAGAGUUAGAUCUGAGUUGACCGUCAUACUGGUGAUUGAACCAUUAACGCACUCCAAUCAGAUUAGGCUACAAACUGAUCUACUCACAGUUGUCAAACUAAUUAAAAUUAUUGUAACUAGUUAUGAAUGUUUUUUUCAUUUGUGUGUAGAGAGCUCCUAUAAUUAUUUAAUUUAACAUAUUUAUUAUUAUAAGAAUUUUUAAUUAUCAUAAUGUAAACCUUUUUUUUUACCCUUAUAUAUAAUAUAUAAAAUAUAUUUUUCUUAUAAUAAUAACCAAUGUUUGUGAUUGGCAAUUUUAUUGAUGUAUACAUUUUUUUUUAUCUAAGAUAAAUUCAAUGAUAUCAAUUUAAGUGUUAACAACUUUUUAGAUAUUUUUGAAUAGGCCAUGCAAAUAAUUACA